AGCAGUCGCCGCGGGAAUACGUAGGGUGCAAGCGUUAAUCGGAAUUACUGGGCGUAAAGCGUGCGCAGGCGGUUUGUUAAGACAGAUGUGAAAUCCCCGGGCUCAACCUGGGAACUGCAUUUGUGACUGGCAAGCUAGAGUGUGGCAGAGGGGGGUGGAAUUCCGCGUGUAGCAGUGAAAUGCGUAGAUAUGCGGAGGAACACCGAUGGCGAAGGCGACUCUCUGGUCUGUAACUGACGCUGAGGAGCGAAAGCGUGGGGAGCGAACAGGAUUAGAUACCCGUGUAGUCCCUGUCUCUUAUAC
This 303-nucleotide ribosomal RNA is filed under the name uncultured bacterium. Its description in RNAcentral is "partial 16S ribosomal RNA". It matches the Rfam family "Bacterial small subunit ribosomal RNA", at positions 507 to 807 of the family's 1533-position model. The record is from RNAcentral.